This is a long non-coding RNA of Pimephales promelas (fathead minnow), 1642 nucleotides long. RefSeq lists it as uncharacterized. The record is from RefSeq and is a predicted model, not a curated record. NCBI's taxonomy places the organism in Eukaryota, Metazoa, Chordata, Actinopteri, Cypriniformes, Leuciscidae.
ACAUCGUGGACGAACAUCCCGCAAUAAUCUGUGGAGAUUUUAAUGAGGAUCACCUCUGCGCUGGGAAUAAAACUGUUCUGGAACUGUUUCAGUCCAAAGGAUACACACAACUGAUCACCACAGCAACAACCAAAAAGAACACUCUAUUGGAUCACAUUUACGUCUCUCAUCCGGAUUUGUGCCUUCAGUCAGGUGUCUUGCAUACCUAUCAUAGCUAUCACAAUCCCGUGUACUGUGUUUUGCGUAAAUGAGUUUUUUUUUAGUGGACAGAUAUUGUUGUGUUUGGUGCUAGGUUAGUAUGCCAUACGGAACCGUUUGCCACUGAAACUGCUUAACGCACCAGUGGGGCUUCGACAGCCUUAUAAAACGAACGGUUGGGCGCGUAUGGUCGGGUUGUCGGGUAGUAUGCCAUACGGAACCGUUGCCAAUGGACCUGGAUACAUCACAUCAGCGGGGCUUUGAAAGCCUUCAUCAAACGGGUUGGCGCGUAUGGUCGUGUUGUGGUUAGAUUGUGGUGUUAGAGAUUGUGAUUAGGAGAUUGCGGUUAGGUCAUGCCAAGGGUUUAUACCACUGAGCUACGAAGAAGGAGCACCCUCAGCAGCAGCAGGAAGGACGGAGGAGGAGUGUGACAGCUCCAGGGAGGACAUAGACAGUCAGAGCGACAGUGGCAUUGCAGGAAGAAUUGGGAGACCAUAGCAGUCGUGUCUGGAUAUGAGUGUGCAAUAUACCUUCUAAAGCUAAGUGUUAAAAGAUUUUAUUUCAGUCUGUGUACCACUGCUUUUCAUAACUGCGUUUGAAUGGAAAUGUUAUAUUUGAACCUCUAAUUUUGAUUUUUAUGUUUUUUAGGAACCAGCCAAAUGAAGUGAGAUUGUCUGAGAAGAUCACGUGUGCUACAUCAAUGACGAUGACGAGCUGGAUACCAGAUUAUGUGCCAAUUUCUUUCCAGAAGAGGUCCAAAUAUCUACGGCAUUGAAGACAACUCCGAAGAAUGAAGAAGCAGAGGAAGAAGCACACUGAGGUCAAUACUACUGAUAAGGAUAUCCAGGGAGACAGAUGCGUGCCAUUCAGCAUAGAAACAUCAGAGACACAGUUCACCUGAGCGCAGAGGGAAACCAGCUUCUCCUGAGCAAACCUGACAAAUGUUCUGCGGGUGGAACUCCAAAGUUGAAACCAAAUGCCUUUUUAAAGGCAACAACGGCUCUUCUCAGAGCUACCCACUCAUUCAAAAACAAGAGCAUUUUUACAAGUUUAUCGAUCUUUCUGAUAAGGUCUAGUGUUCAGUGCAUCUUAUCAUACAAUGGUUUGUUUAAAAGCUUAGAUUGUUUAAAAGUGUAUGAUCUCAGAGGUGAGAGUUCAAAAAUUGUCUCUUGCGAGAUACAAACUUUACGCUCCAUACGUCUUGGAGAAUCAGAAAAUUCACUAUUAUUAUAAUAUUUGUUUUACCUCCUCUACCUCAGGAUAUCCAGCCUGUUUGCAGGGCCAGUUCCAGUGGCUAGAUGGCGGGAGAUGCUCCAUUACACCAUAUUGCAUAUCAACAUUGGAUGCACAAUUAAUUCAUUUUAAUAUAUUCAUUAAUGAUUUUACUAUCAUAUUAAAUAAUUGCUUACACACUCUAUAUAUAUAUAUAUAUAUAUAUAUAUAU